CAGUCGCCGCGGGAAUACAGAGGGUGCGAGCGUUAAUCGGAUUUACUGGGCGUAAAGCGUGCGUAGGCGGCUAAUUGAGUCGGAUGUGAAAUCCCCGAGCUUAACUUGGGAAUUGCAUUCGAUGCUGGUUAGCUAGAGUGUGGGAGAGGAUGGUAGAAUUCCAGGUGUAGCGGUGAAAUGCGUAGAGAUCUGGAGGAAUACCGAUGGCGAAGGCAGCCAUCUGGCCUAACACUGACGCUGAGGUACGAAAGCAUGGGGAGCAAACAGGAUUAGAGACCCCCGUAGUCCCUGUCUCUUAUAC
This 301-nucleotide ribosomal RNA is filed under the name uncultured bacterium. RNAcentral describes it as "partial 16S ribosomal RNA". It matches the Rfam family "Bacterial small subunit ribosomal RNA", at positions 509 to 807 of the family's 1533-position model. The record is from RNAcentral.